AGGGAAUAUUGCGCAAUGGGCGAAAGCCUGACGCAGCAAUACCGCGUGAGUGAGGAAGGUCUUCGGAUUGUAAAACUCUGUCGGGAUGGAAAAAUGGCGUAGAGUCGAACAGGCUUUACGAUUGAUGGUACAUCCAAAGGAAGCACCGGCUAACUUCGUGCCAGCAGCCGCGGUAAUACGAAGGGUGCAAGCGUUGUUCGGAUUUAUUGGGCGUAAAGCGCGCGCAGGCGGAUAAUUAAGUCAGGUGUGAAAUCUCAGGGCUCAACCCUGAAACUGCGCCUGAAACUGAUUGUCUAGAAUGUCGGAGGGGGAAGGGGAAUUUCGCAUGUAGGGGUAAAAUCCGUAGAUAUGCGAAGGAAUACCAGAGGCGAAGGCGCCUUCCUGGACGAUGAUUGACGCUGAGGCGCGAAAGCGUGGGGAGCAAAC
This 426-nucleotide ribosomal RNA is filed under the name uncultured bacterium. RNAcentral's name for it is "bacterial SSU rRNA". It matches the Rfam family "Bacterial small subunit ribosomal RNA", at positions 356 to 773 of the family's 1533-position model. The record is from RNAcentral.